GGAGAGGUGGCUGAGUGGCUAAAAGCGAUCGCCUCGAAAGCGAUUGGGUCGCAAGAUCCACGUGGGUUCGAAUCCCACCCUCUCCG
This 86-nucleotide transfer RNA is filed under the name Microgenomates bacterium DG_75. RNAcentral describes it as "tRNA-Ser". It matches the Rfam family "tRNA". Rfam says of the family: Transfer RNA (tRNA) molecules are approximately 80 nucleotides in length. Their secondary structure includes four short double-helical elements and three loops (D, anti-codon, and T loops). The record is from RNAcentral. Lineage: Bacteria; Candidatus Microgenomatota.